UACGCUGCGGAUGCUUACACAUGCAUGUCACUCUGACUCCGGAUUGGCUGGCUUACUUGCUAACAACCGGCAGACAGCUUGACUCACGCCUGGGGACCUGGUUUGUGGACGGGGACUACUACCGGAUACUGUGACUAUUUCCCCUCAUUGGCUUAUGACUGCUAGGUGCGCUCGGAGAGACGCCUUGCCGUCCCAUUAGCUCCUUGGAGAUGAAGCGGCUCGCCGAGGCAAAUGAUCGCCAGCCCCCCUGUCUCGGUGAUCUCUCACAAGGCGACCGACCCCCCUGCCUCUCUCCCACGGGACGCACUCCUGCGGAAUGUUGCACUGUGGACCAUUACUCUGAUCCGGCAAUCUCUGUGUUGCACCAUGACGCUUUUCUGAAUGAAGACUGCUUUCUUGUGGGAAUCAUUCAAUGACGAUGCCGGCGAAUGAUUUGACAGAUCAAUCCAUUGCCGCUGCCCCCGUAAU
RNAcentral lists this ribosomal RNA (468 nucleotides) under uncultured bacterium. RNAcentral's name for it is "bacterial SSU rRNA". The record is from RNAcentral.